This 494-nucleotide ribosomal RNA is filed under the name uncultured bacterium. Its description in RNAcentral is "partial 16S ribosomal RNA". It matches the Rfam family "Bacterial small subunit ribosomal RNA", at positions 28 to 507 of the family's 1533-position model. The record is from RNAcentral.
GACGAACGCUGGCGGCGUGCUUAACACAUGCAAGUCGAACGGAAAGGCCUGCUUUCUUUUGUGGAUUGUGGGUACUCGAGUGGCUAACGGUUGAGUAACACGUGAGUGAUCUGCCCCCAACUUGUGUAUUAGCCUGGGAAACUGGGUCUAAUUCCCGAUAGCACUGCAGGGUGGUGCCUCUGGUGGAAUCCGAUUUUCUAGUGGUUGCGGAUGAGCUCGCGGCCUAUCAGCGUGUUGGUGGGGUAAUGGCCUACCAAGGCGGCGACGCGUAGCCGGCUUGAGAGGGUGGACGGCAACAUUGGGACAGAGACACGGACAAGACGAAAAGCGGAGGCAGCAGUAGGGAAGAUUGGAAAAUGGGCGGAAGCCUGACGCAGAGAGGCCGCGUGGGGGAUGACGGCCUUGGGGUUGAAAACUCCUUUCGAACGGGAGGAAGCAGCGUGGUUGGAAGGGUGGUGACGGUAGUGGUAGAAGAAGCACCGGCUAACUACGUG